GGGCGCUUACAAAAACAUGCCAGCGACGUCUGCGGGGCGAACGUGCGCCGCCGAGGGAACUUCUCAAGAUCGGUUUUAUUAUAGCGUUUGGUGUGGAAACGGCAGUGCUUUCGGGCGAGUGGCGAGUUCUAGAGCUCCUGUUACGGCUAACUCUAGGCGUCGCACGCACGGGGCACGUAAGGCCAUGUACGGCCAGACGCUAUGAUGGACGGGCGUGGGCGGUUCCCCUGUGUGAACCUUGGUCUUCCUCCAACAAUCUUUGCAGUGAUUAAAUUCUCAACUCCCUUGGGCGGCGCGCAACGGCGGGUGUAGCAUUGGCCUUGCAAAGAAGGCAUCGGCGUCGUCGCACGACAUCUAAUGUCGGGCGGCGGGGUGGAUGUCGGGCGUGCAUUUCCGGAGCUAUUCACGUACGGCGCAUGAGUGGUAUUGGGCAUGUGUGGUUAGGUUGGAUCCCUGCUUCGAGCAGCGACGUCCUAACUCGCAUGCCAACUCGGUGACGGAUGAAGCGCAAUCUAGGCUGGUCGGACGUCGGAACUUCCUGUGCUGCAUACCUACUGCCUAGGCAUUGUGCACGUGCAAACGGUCGCCUUUCGCCCCUCGCAUCCCAUGCGCGGGGUGAACCCAAAAGACGCUCUCGCGUCCCACGCCUUCCCUCGCUUCGUCGUGCGAUGGCGUGGUCCGUGAGCGGCGCCUCGAAUUCUCGGAUACGGUAGACGCAGUGGGCAUGGGGCCUUCACCGGCUUCUAUCUGCCCAAAACGAAUGCUCCUUGCGAAUGACUGCCGCGCUCGCCUUGGACCCGACCGUGCCCGAAAGGGCGCGCCGGGCUCAUGCGGUGCGCGGCGUCGUUGAGGAAUGC
Molecule: unclassified non-coding RNA, 857 nt
Filed under: Solanum cheesmaniae
Lineage: Eukaryota; Viridiplantae; Streptophyta; Magnoliopsida; Solanales; Solanaceae
Description: partial 5' external transcribed spacer
Source: RNAcentral